RNAcentral lists this ribosomal RNA (601 nucleotides) under Streptomyces sp. YIM C324. RNAcentral's name for it is "bacterial SSU rRNA". It matches the Rfam family "Bacterial small subunit ribosomal RNA", at positions 55 to 673 of the family's 1533-position model. Lineage: Bacteria; Bacillati; Actinomycetota; Actinomycetes; Kitasatosporales; Streptomycetaceae. The record is from RNAcentral.
AUGCAAGUCGAACGAUGAAGCCCUUCGGGGUGGAUUAGUGGCGAACGGGUGAGUAACACGUGGGCAAUCUGCCCUUCACUCUGGGACAAGCCCUGGAAACGGGGUCUAAUACCGGAUAACACUCUGUCCNGCAUGGGACGGGGUUAAAAGCUCCGGCGGUGAAGGAUGAGCCCGCGGCCUAUCAGCUUGUUGGUGGGGUAAUGGCCUACCAAGGCGACGACGGGUAGCCGGCCUGAGAGGGCGACCGGCCACACUGGGACUGAGACACGGCCCAGACUCCUACGGGAGGCAGCAGUGGGGAAUAUUGCACAAUGGGCGAAAGCCUGAUGCAGCGACGCCGCGUGAGGGAUGACGGCCUUCGGGUUGUAAACCUCUUUCAGCAGGGAAGAAGCGAAAGUGACGGUACCUGCAGAAGAAGCGCCGGCUAACUACGUGCCAGCAGCCGCGGUAAUACGUAGGGCGCAAGCGUUGUCCGGAAUUAUUGGGCGUAAAGAGCUCGUAGGCGGCUUGUCACGUCGGAUGUGAAAGCCCGGGGCUUAACCCCGGGUCUGCAUUCGAUACGGGCUAGCUAGAGUGUGGUAGGGGAGAUCGGAAUUCCUGC